RNAcentral lists this ribosomal RNA (441 nucleotides) under uncultured bacterium. Its description in RNAcentral is "partial 16S ribosomal RNA". It matches the Rfam family "Bacterial small subunit ribosomal RNA", at positions 338 to 795 of the family's 1533-position model. The record is from RNAcentral.
CCUACGGGAGGCUGCAGUGGGGAAUAUUGCACAAUGGGGGAAACCCUGAUGCAGCAACGCCGCGUGAAGGAAGACGGUUUUCGGAUUGUAAACUUCUGUUCUUAGUGAAGAAUAAUGACGGUAGCUAAGGAGCAAGCCACGGCUAACUACGUGCCAGUAGCCGCGGUAAUACGUAGGUGGCAAGCGUUGUCCGGAAUUACUGGGUGGAAAGGGAGCGCAGGCGGGAAGCCAAGUCAGCUGUGAAAACUGCGGGCUUAACUUGUAGACUGCAGUUGAAACUGGUUUUCUUGAGUGAAGUAGAGGUAGGCGGAAUGCGGGGUGUAGCGGUGAAAUGCGUAGAUAUUCGGAGGAACACCGGUGGCGAAGGCGGCCAACUGGGCUGUAACUGACGCUGAGGCUCGAAAGUGUGGGGAGCAAACAGGAUUAGAUACCCGGGUAGUC